CAGUAGCCGCGGUAAUACGUAGGUCCCGAGCGUUGUCCGGAUUUAUUGGGCGUAAAGCGAGCGCAGGCGGUUAGAUAAGUCUGAAGUUAAAGGCUGUGGCUUAACCAUAGUACGCUUUGGAAACUGUUUAACUUGAGUGCAAGAGGGGAGAGUGGAAUUCCAUGUGUAGCGGUGAAAUGCGUAGAUAUAUGGAGGAACACCGGUGGCGAAAGCGGCUCUCUGGCUUGUAACUGACGCUGAGGCUCGAAAGCGUGGGAGCAAACAGGAUUAGAGACCCCAGUAGUCCCUGUCUCUUAUACAC
RNAcentral lists this ribosomal RNA (301 nucleotides) under uncultured bacterium. RNAcentral's name for it is "partial 16S ribosomal RNA". It matches the Rfam family "Bacterial small subunit ribosomal RNA", at positions 509 to 809 of the family's 1533-position model. The record is from RNAcentral.